UGAUACGACGGAGCCUGUGCUUGAUAGAAGAAUCAGAAACUCUCCCCUUCUUGUUGAUAGCCCCUUUCGGACGCCCUCGUCUACGAGAACUGGGUCCUGUCGUCCCAGUCAAAGUUAGCAAAUCGUUGUUGUCAGUCAUCACAGCAAGCGGCUGAACAACCAAAGGUGCAUAAGUCCUCUCGUGUUCCUGGUCCACUACCUCAAUUUGGCUCUUUUCGUCAUCUGACUCAAGCUGUUCCAUAUCCUUUCUAUCCUGAUUGUCCUGAUAGAUGCAAGCAUCUGAAGCUCGGCCUCCAUCAGAUGGCGGCUUUUCCAUGUUAUCAUCACAAACAAGUCUAUGUUCAUCUUGCAACUCUAGAGAAACCAACACAGCAAAGGGAUUGGAUGAGGUAGGAGAGUCUGAAGAAGAGUUCAGUUUCUGUCCAACCUCAGCAAAAGCCUUUCCAGCCCUUGCUGGAGAUUCCUGAUUUCCGGUGUAGGGACGAGGAUGAACCCUGUGGUCAUCUACCUUGGACUGACCACGUUCCCGGCCCUGAUGUUCCGUAAAGCCCUCCUCUGUCGUGUUUGUUUUCCUCCUUCUGCAUUCGUUAGAAAUAUGUCCCACAACCUUGCAAACCGAGCAGUAAUAAGGCAAAUUCUCAUAUACAAACUUGACAGUAAAAUCAAUGUCGCCACACUUAAUAUCUAAAGUCUCAGGAAUAGCAGCCGAAACAUCUAACUCAACAAGAAUUCUAGCAAAGUGACCC
Molecule: long non-coding RNA, 746 nt
Filed under: Salvia miltiorrhiza (redroot sage)
Lineage: Eukaryota; Viridiplantae; Streptophyta; Magnoliopsida; Lamiales; Lamiaceae
Description: long non-coding RNA (SMIL_LNC014370)
Source: RNAcentral